RNAcentral lists this long non-coding RNA (265 nucleotides) under Nicotiana benthamiana. RNAcentral's name for it is "long non-coding RNA (NBEN_LNC001452)". Lineage: Eukaryota; Viridiplantae; Streptophyta; Magnoliopsida; Solanales; Solanaceae. The record is from RNAcentral.
CUUGUAAAAGAUAUACUAUUCUUCGUUUCCAAGUUAUUUGGUACUUUUAAAAGAUAUACUAUAUGUAUUCGUUGGUUAUUUAUUUAUUUAUUUAUUUUGUGAUGCCAUCUCUACAGUAAGUUACAUGAGCUGUUAUUUCCACAAGUAGAAUUUUCUUGGUGCGUAAAUUGUGGUUGUACUCCUGCUUUUUUCUUUGGCUGAUUCUUGGAAAAUGAUAAUUAUGAUAUUCUUUCUGCCUGGUUUUCCAUCUACUUCUGCUUUUCCU